AAAAAAAAAAUCAAUGAUACCUAAAAAAUUUAAUAUUUGAAAAACAUUUAUAUCAGCCAGAAUUUAUUUAAGACAGUAAAAAAAAAAUUGUUUGAUAUGGAAUAAGCUUGCAGGAAUCAAACUAAAAUCGGUAAACCACGUCAUUAAAAUUUAAGAAUCCAGAAUAUAAUAUAAUUUUCAAAAAUGGACUACGACUAGAGAUCGGCAUGAUCAUUAUGUCUCACCAUUUCACUUCGUAUCGUGAAAUGUUGGAGAGGGCUCAUGCAAUUUCGUAUCAAAUGACUACAUUUGAACAGUAUUCUCAGUAGAGGAAGGAGUCAUUGGGAAAAAGGAAGUGGAAUGAUCAGAGUAAGGACAAACGUAACUGGCCGAAUAAAAGACCAAGUAUAGGAGUUCGUAUUGGUGGGACAAGUGGGAUUAUUACACCUUGUCCUAAGUGUAAUAAACUCCACAGGGGUGAAUGCUUAUUUGGUAAGAAUAUAUGCUUUCGAUGUAGCAAGCCGGGACACAUUGCCUUACACUGUACAGAACCUCCAAAGAAGGACGAUGAUCAGGACAAUAACAAGAAAGGGAAGGCUCGAGUUUUUGCACUAAACUAGCAUGAGGCGGAGUAGGAUCCGAAUGUGAUAGCAGGUAUGGUAAUAUUAUCUAGAAUACAUAUUUAUGUUCUAAAUUUUACAUCCUUCGGCGCUAAGACUAACACUAUAAUAACGAUAAAUAGGUAUUUUUUUUAUUAUCUGAUGUACCUGCUUACGUACUUUUCGAUUCUGGGGCUACAAAUUCUUUUAUCUUUGCAUCCUUCGUCGCUAGGUCAAACUUUGCAUGUGUGAAAAUGAAUUAUGAAUUUCAGGAAGAACUCUUUGUACAAACCAGAUGACUAAGACUAUGAAGUUAGAGAUUGACGGAAAAAUAUUACAUGCUAACUUAUAACUUUUGGAGAUGAAAGAUUUCGAUGUCACGAGAAAAAAGUAUUAUUUUACAGAUCGGGAGAGGAAGAAUUCCGUUUCUUUGGAGCAAAGUUAUUCAAGCGGAAAAGAUGUUGAAAAAUGAGUCAUGUCAAGGAUUUCUAGUUAAUAUCACUAGUUCCCAAUCUAUAGAAAUGACUUUUAACGAUAUUAACAUCGUGCGAGACUUUGUAGAUGUAUUCCUCGAAGAGUUACCGAGCAUUCCACAAGAUAGGCAAGUUGAAUUUACAAUUGAUUUGGUUCCUAGAGCAGCACCAGUAUCCAAGGCCCUGUACCGAAUGACACAAAGGAACUUCAAGAAUUGAAGUUGCAAUUAGAAGAGUUGCUGGAGAAAGGUUUCAUUCGACCAAGUGUAUCUUCUUG
This 1328-nucleotide long non-coding RNA is filed under the name Olea europaea subsp. europaea. Lineage: Eukaryota; Viridiplantae; Streptophyta; Magnoliopsida; Lamiales; Oleaceae. The record is from RNAcentral.